Molecule: long non-coding RNA, 287 nt
Organism: Pezoporus occidentalis (night parrot)
Lineage: Eukaryota; Metazoa; Chordata; Aves; Psittaciformes; Psittacidae
Exons: 3
Source: RefSeq, a predicted model, not a curated record
UUGAUUGCUGAAAUAGGGCCCCUGAUUAUCUUUGGAAAAAGCUACUUGAUUGAUCUUUUGGGAUAAAAUCAAAGAAGCUACAAAUAAUCUCUGGCAAAGAUACCAAAUCAGAGGUCUUUCCUCCCAAAUGAAUGCCCUGACUACUGAGGUGGAGGUGCUCUCAGAAGGAGCAUGGCAGGAGGCAAAUAUCAGUACAGCACUGCAUGGACAUCUGACAUCUUGCUGUCUCUCUUUCUCCAGGUUCACAGGCAAAAGCCUCUCUGGGAGUCAGGAUGGCUGAAGGAUGC